UUCGCGCUUAGUUUGAGAAAAUUCUUAUUUGAACUCUGUUUCUUCUGAACUCACUAAUUUCUUGAAAUUUCUGUACUGCUUUUGAAAGAAAAAUUUUCGAAUUGGUUCAUAUUUAUUUUGCUUCAUUUUCUUAUCUAAAGUUAUAACUGUGGGAGCAAAAUAUGGAUUCUUGUAGAAAGAGGCAUCGUGUAGCUGAUUCUAAGUACAGAUGCAAGGUUCAGCAGUUAUAUGGCUUGUUGAAAGAAGAAACACAUAGCCCAUAUCCUAAAGAUUUAGCAUUAGUUAAUGUUCAGAAGCAAAUUAGAAGUUUGGAAGAAAAACUUUUUAGUGAUCAUGGUUUAGGUAAUAAUGCAUAUAAAAAAGAAUUCCUAGAAAUACUUUGCCAAGAAGAAAUCAUAUGGAACAAUGUGAAAGAUGUGCAGAAAUGGUGGCUUCAGGUGCAAGAUUUGAUUACUAAGAUUGGCAGCCAUCAAAAUCCUGGUGCUCUACCUGCAGUUUACAAUAUAUGUCAUGAAAAGCCUGUUGAAAGUGCUAAUAUUAAUUAUUUUGUUGUUUCUGCUGAUCAAAAUGGUGAAAUUAAUGAUCUGUUGUCUCCUAGUAAAUGGACGAGAAAGUCAAAAUUCCGUUUUGCUGUCAAAAGUGUCCAGCACCAUAAAAGAAAUUCAAGAACAAGUGAAUGCCACAGUUCCACUGGAAAAUGUCCUACAGUCACUUAUAAUAACAACAUUUCUAAUGAUGACUAGGAUUGAUUUUUUUUUUUUUUUUUUUUUUAAGUUUAUCAUCAAAUAAGUCAUGAUCUAUAUCAGGUAUAUGAUAAAAGUAAUUUUAUUUAAAAUAUUUUUUUAAGUGUUUUAAAAGAAGUCUUUUCUAUAUUUAAAUAUGCAGCAACAAGCUGUUAAUGAGUGAAGUGUUGCUGUUGAUGGGGCCAACUAUGAAUAUGGAAACAGUCGAGUCGUGUAAAACCCUGACUCCAUCAUCUAGGACCUAGUUAGUUGAGUUUUAUUCUGAAAUAGGUUGGGACUCUUAUUUCCUGCAUUUGGCAUGCUACUGCUGUAUUAUUCUUCCUCUAGUAUAGCGAUCACAAAAUCAAAAUGAAUGCAUGGCAAAUGCAUGAUCUGAAAACUGUUGAUGCUGUAGAGACAUUGGGUUAUUCUGAAGCAGGAGACAUGAAAAAUCAGCAAUGCCCUCGCCGGGACUCGAACUACAUACCUCUCGAAUAUGCGGCAAGUGUGCUGGCCAUUACACCACAAAGGUAGGAGAAAUACCUUAUAUACUUCCUCUUUUAAAGGGCGACUGGAAAUUAGGAGACCCAGUUGCCAAAUCCUGGUAGUGGAGAAUCAGCAUCCACCACCUUUUUUUAGUUUGGGCGCCAUAGUAAAGACAUUAGGACAUUCUGAAGCAUUUGAAAAUGAGCUAUGUCCUCACUGGGGCUCGAACCACGAUCUUCUCGAAUAUGCGCCGAGUGUGCUGGCCAUUACACCAUGAAGGCGGGAGAAAUACCUUAUAAUACACCAGAAUUUUUUACCAAACUGAAAAUUAAAUAAAUUUUAGAUUUUUCUUACUACAUAUUUAUCAAUACACACAUAAACAACAAUAGUAAUAUCGCAAAAGAAAAAAUUCAGAUUUAUAUUUAUUUUCUAUCCAAAAUCUGAAGUUUGGUACCUGUAAGACAUUUUUGUUGUUAACAUUUCAUAAUUCAUAUGUAGUGACAGCUAAGUUUUUAGCAAACAUUUCUUUCAAACAAUUGUGUAUUUAAUUAAUCAUUAAACAGUUUAUUGUAAUUUACGGCCAAAAAUGUAUGAAAAUUUUCUAACCAAGUUUAGCUAAGUGGGACAAAACUUGAGAAUAAAUAGUAACAAGGUAUUCUCUCUUAUUUAUUAAAUUUUUCUUUGAUGCGUAAAUAAAAGUACCUAUAUCUGUAUAUAAAUAAUUAUAAACUUCUAUAUUUCUACUAUAGUUUGAAACUUGAUGUUAUUUGGGUUCUGGUAAAGUUUGUAGUCUUCAAGAGAAAUUACUAGAAACUAUCUUCAUUACAGAUUGUAAAUGCUUAUCAGUCAAUUGGGUUCUAUUCUUAUUAAUUUUCACCUUUGAAAAAAAAACUGUGUAUUUCCAAACAAAAUGAUUAUUGGUGCAAAAAUUACGAACUGAGCUUACUUAUUUUUGGGCAAGUAUGAUUAAAAUUUAGUCAAAUAUGUAUCUUCAAAUCUUUGAAUAAGAUUUAUAUCACACUGUAAAUAAAUUAACUCUUUUUAUGUAAAUUUACUGGCAUGUUAUACAUGCUCGUUUUUAACGGAAGUGAAAAUAAUAUAAACUCAAAUUUUAAAUAACUAAAAUCUUGAAAUCUUUGCUACAUAAUCUUCAAAUGUUUGCUCCAACAUCUUGAAAUAUUUGCAUCAAAUACAUUAUUCAGAUGUCUUUAGGGGCUGCGUAAAAUUGCUUCAAUGGCUGCAAAUUGAGACCACUGCUCUAGUAUGCUAGCACAAUAUAUAAGCCAUGGCACAUACGAGCUCCAUUACUUUGAAAGCAAACCGAGGCCUGUCACUUUUAAGAGCAUUAACAUGCGAGCCAGAUAAAUUCAGAAUGGCAUGUGAAGGGACUAAUAUAUAUGCCCUCCUUUGGAAAAAUGUUUUCCAAAUUUCUGUUAAUAAAAAAGGCUAAUGGAAGAAUAAUAAUCCUUUAAUAAAAAAAGGCUUCUUUAGAAUCCUUUUGAAUUGUGGCCCAGUUUCAUAUAAACUAAGUCAAAGAUCUUGUACAGAAUUCUAUAAAAUUUCAAAUGCAGGUUCUGUAGAGUUAUAAUUUAACUCUAUAGAGACACUAAUAAUUAUAUACAAAGACAUUUUACAGACAUGUAGAGACAUUUUACAGAGAUUAUGUACAUUUAUUUAUGUAGAGAUGGCUAUAAAAAUUCUUGCAAUUUCUUAGUCCCAUGUAUAGAAUCUUGUAAAAUGUGUAUGUGAUCAACUAAUAGAAUUCUACUGAAAAUAUCAGAUCCAGUGUACAGAAAGUCAGGCCAUAAUUCUAAAGAACUCUAAGCAAGUUUCCUUGUGGCAUUAUGCUUGUGUUUUUCUAACAAAGCUUUAUUUAAUUUACAGCUUUCCUUUUGCCUCAUUUCACCACAAGGCUUGCUCAUUCUAGAGUUUAUAUAGAUUUCAGUAGUAAGCGGUGCUACCAUACAGUGAGAGGAACAGCACACUGCCAAUGUAUAUAAGAGGUUUCUUAGUGAGUAACCACUUUCUCGCAUCAACACAAAAUAAACUUUAUUUGGUGUUAACUGGCUGUUUCUUCAUACAUUUAGGUUUCUGGAAAUAAUAAAGCUACUGGAAAGUUCCUUACCGGUUCCAUAUUAUAAAAGUUUUACUUCAUAAGCUUUUAAAAAUGUUAAAAAUAUCUGUUACGUUUUUAUGCAGUUUUGUAAGUUUUAAGUAUUUUAUAUUAUGGUUUUAAGUUUUAAAUGUUUUAAUGCAUUUGUUUUACGUAUUUAAUAUUGUGUUUUUUCAUGCCAUCUCUUCAAAUGAGUAGAGUUCUGAGGAAAUGCCACAGUGAGAGAAUUUGGGUAUGAAAUUUAAAAACCUAUUGUUAUAAUAAUAAUGUUUUUAAGGCUGAACAUUAUAUAUAAGUGUUUAACCUUUAAAAUACAUUAUUUUCUCCAGGACUUUGAAGAGCUAUUUCUAAUUUUUUUUUUUUUUUUUUUUUUUUUUUUUUUUUUUUUUUUUUUUUUUGUUAUGAAAUGUUUACAUAUUACUUAGGUUCAAAGAAAAGUCCUUGUGCAAUAAUUUGAUUUCAUAAUGAACUCUCUUAGACUACGCAUUAGGUGUAUCUGUAGUAAUUGUACAUAUUGAGUUGAAGUAAAGUGAUUGAAAUGCAACCUACUGAAAAAUUAGGCAAGUUAUUUAGUGACUUUGUGUAAUAAAGUACAACUAGGUGAAUUGUAAAGUUUACACUUUCAUCUAAGUACAACAUCUAAGUAUGAAUGUAUUUAAUGAACAAUAAUUUCCAGCUAUACACUAAAGAAUAUAAAACGAUUAUAGAAUAGUUUGUUCUGAUAAUAAAAUAUAGUUAAAUUCCCAAUAUAACUGAAUGUUAUUUCUAUUACAUUGAUAAAUUCUAUAUUUGUUAAAAAUUUGCCACAUGCAUUUGUGCAAUCCCCAAGCCUCGUUUUUUUGUCUCUGUUCAAGUCUGGAAUGACAAAAAGCAUAUAAGACAGAGUCUUAAUUCUUGGUAAUUGGAUGCUGCUGCAUAAUUUUGUGAUUGGUAAUUUUUCUUCUGUCUGAUAUCAUUGGAGAUUUAGAUUAAAUCAUUUUCAUGAUUUUUUGCCAGAAGGUGCUACAGUCUAGCUAUUCAAUCUAAUAGUCUAAAAUAGUUCAUUUCAAAGAAAAAGAAGUGUAUGUUUCUUUAGAACUUAAAAAUUAAUAAUAAUAAUCAUUAGUAAUAUAAUAAUUAGUGUUCUUUAGAACUUGGAUUUUCACUCAAAAUUCUUUUUAUGUGUGUUCUAAAAAAAAAAAAAAAAAAAAAAAAAGUGCUUUGUGAUAAUGGGGUUAUUUUUAAAAAAAGGCUGCAUAUCUCCUUUUAUGUUCUUGAAGCGAAAAUCUUCAAAUACUUAGUAGUCACUUUAUAAGCUGUCCUCUUAUCACAAGAAAAAUUUUUGGUAGAUCAUGAAAAUUUUUUGUUUUGUUAUAUAGUUAUGAUUACUUAUCAUGAUUAAUUUGUUAUUAAAUAUUAGCUAAUUGCUAUUAAUUUAUAUAUUAAAAGUUAAAAGAUUGCUCUUAUUAUUAUGGGAGAAAAUGUCAACCACAAAGAUAAAUACACUGUGUGGAAGGAAAUAAUAAAGGCAAAGAAUAAAAUUACUUACCAUAAUUUAAAAUAUGCCAUUUUUGUACUGUAAAAUAUAAUUGUUUGUUAUCAUAUUUAGAAUAAAAAACUGGAUCAUAGUUUCAUAA
Unclassified non-coding RNA from Stegodyphus dumicola, 4937 nucleotides. Lineage: Eukaryota; Metazoa; Arthropoda; Arachnida; Araneae; Eresidae. The record is from RefSeq and is a predicted model, not a curated record.